CGAAAUGUUAAAUAGCUUGCAUAAGUUCACACAGCUGGGGAAAGAUGGAGCUGGAAUUCACAUUGGGGCACUCUGACCUCAGAACCUGUACUCAGACUUUUACUAAGCAGAGUUUGUGGGGAUGUGGAGAGGCAAGGAGUGAUUUGUUGAUGAGCUCCAUUUCAUUUCAGGUACUUGUAUGAAAUCCCAGAGUCUUCCUUAAGCAAGAUGUUGUGUAUAAGAGUUUGAAACUCUGGAUACACUUAGAGAUUUGAGAAUCAUUAACUUAAUAGGGAAGAAAUUGAAAAUAUUAGAGUGGAUGACAUCAUCCAGGGAUCUGUAGAGAAUUAAUUAGAAUUAGAAUUAGAAUUAGAAUUAGAAUUAGAAUGAGCUGAAGGCAGAACUCUGAGGAAUAGCAACAUGGUUAAAAUAAGAGAGCCUAUGAAUAAGAAGGAAGCAGCUGUCAGGGACGUAGAAGCAGAACCAAGAGAAUAUAGUGGGAAAGAUCAUUAAAGAGGUUGGGGGCCCAUGCUGCUGGAGGCUUUAGUAAUAUAGACAUGGAAAAACUUCCAUUCACUUCUCAAUUCACUUCUUCUUCCAUUCACUCUCAAAGUCAUUGGUAGGCCCAUCAAAAAUAACUCCCCAAAACAUGGACCAGUAGAAAGGGGCAGAAGCCACGGGGCAUUAGUCUUAGGAACAAACGGGAGAUGGCCAAGUGGGGGAGAGAGUGAAGACAGUCUAGAAGGGGUUAUGGAAGAACACCACCCCACCCCCAAGGAGAGCAGCAGAGGAUCAGGAACCCAUGCGAGAAGACAUUUGUUAAGAAAUCAAAUCCAGAGGCAUGACUUGUAGUUCCAGAUGUCCCAGAAGACAGAAACUUGUGGAUUCCUUGAUCAUGACAGCAUUGAAAUUCUGAGGCACAUCUUUCUUCAUCAUGAGAGAUAGGAAUGGUUCCUAAAAGUGUCUCCGAAAUUUAAGUAAAAAGGAGGUCAUGACAUCAUUAAGAGCUCCCCGCUAUUACACUCCCGACCCAAAUAACCAAGAUGCCAACAAGCAAAUACGAGUCUCGGAAAAUCUUCCAUCAAGCACUCACCAGCAGUCUAUCAUCCUAUUCCUCCACUUGGCUACUUCCUAGACUCAUCAACCAGUGAAGGAGAAAUGUAACCUUGAUCCCCAGUGUGAGCCCAGGGAGCCCCAUGGCUCCCUAUAAGCUUUGGGACUAUUCUGACCAGGGACAUGGGAACAGAUGUAUGUCAACACUGCUGGCUCUGGCCUCCUGCAGUACAGUAUGUUACAAAAAGAAAAACAGUGUGGCAAUGCUGAUCAAGUUGCCAGUAAACACUACUUGGAACCCUCAGGAUGAGGGUUCAUUCGUUUCCUAUUACUUCAAGUUAAGAUGGAAACGCAGUCUGGUGUCCUCCACAGCCGUGGUUCAUGGACGGUUAGUGUCAACAUCGCUGAGGAACAUGUUGGAAAAUCACAGUCUCAGGCCCGACUUCCAUCCUACUAAAGCAGAAUCUCUGAGGAUAAGACCCAGGAAACAAGCUGUCCAGAAGAUACGGACCAAAAUUUUGGAAGCAAAGAGGACUUGGAGGUGCAAAGCUAGUGUGUUGUUCUGCUGAGACUCCUCCAUCGUCCGAAUUAUAGGAAGCUGUCAGGAAAACAUGCAGUCUCCAAGGGAAUAACAGGAUGGGGAGCUGAUUUACCUUGGUUCUGGGAAUUUGGGAAUUAAGAAAUAUGUGUAGCUGAGGAAGAGGAAUGCUUUGCUUAAGCAAAUACAGUGUUAAGAUUCAGUAAUUACCAGUACAUCUCGG
RNAcentral lists this long non-coding RNA (1793 nucleotides) under Equus caballus (horse). RNAcentral describes it as "lncRNA (ENSECAG00000043452.2)". Lineage: Eukaryota; Metazoa; Chordata; Mammalia; Perissodactyla; Equidae. The record is from RNAcentral.